UGAAAUGUUUCCUUUGCACAGGUUUGUCAUC
This 31-nucleotide non-coding RNA is filed under the name Mus musculus (house mouse). The record is from RNAcentral. Lineage: Eukaryota; Metazoa; Chordata; Mammalia; Rodentia; Muridae.